Acanthosepion pharaonis is the source of this 111-nucleotide non-coding RNA. NCBI's taxonomy places the organism in Eukaryota, Metazoa, Mollusca, Cephalopoda, Sepiida, Sepiidae. The record is from the annotation of a GenBank genome assembly.
GGCCAUAAUCACAUUGAAACACCGGUUCUCGUACGAUCACCGAAAUUAAGCAACGUCGAUUCUGGUCAGUACCUAGAAGAGUGACCACUUGUGAAUACGAGAUGCCGUAAG